Molecule: long non-coding RNA, 287 nt
Filed under: Piliocolobus tephrosceles (Ugandan red Colobus)
Lineage: Eukaryota; Metazoa; Chordata; Mammalia; Primates; Cercopithecidae
Description: lncRNA (ENSPTEG00000028958.1)
Source: RNAcentral
AGAUGUACAUUGGUUCCAUCCAGAAAGGAGGGACAACUCAAGAAAGGAGGGGGCUUCCAGGUCACAGUGGGUGAGUAGGUGGCCUUUUGUGAUCUCCUACAUCCUGAAACUGAGACUCCUUCGGUUUCUUCUAGAGUCAGUUUGGUAAGCUAUAUUUUUUAAGAAUUUGCUGAUUUAUUCAGUUAUUAUAACUGAAUUCAAUUUAUUCAGUUAAAGUUGGUUGGAAUAAUAUCCAAACCCUUUCAUUUUUAAAGUAUCUAAUAUUGCUUACUUGUAUCUAAUAUUGC